ACUAACGCUGGCGGCGCGCCUAACACAUGCAAGUCGAACGAUGAAGCAGAGCUUGCUCUGUGGAUUAGUGGCGGACGGGUGAGUAACGCGUAGGUAACGUGCCUUCUCGCUGGGGACAACAGUUCGAAAGGACUGCUAAUACCGAAUAUUUUCGCUUAUGAUUAGUUUGCGAAGAAAGGAUCUUUUGAUCCGUGAGAAGAGCGGCCUGCGUCCUAUUAGUUGUUGGUGGGGUAAUGGCCUACCAAGGCACCGACGGGUAGCUGGUCUGAGAGGAUGAUCAGCCACACUGGAACUGGAACACGGUCCAGACUCCUACGGGAGGCAGCAGUGAGGAAUUUUGCGCAAUGGGGGAAACCCUGACGCAGCAACGCCGCGUGGGUGAAGAAGGCUUUCGGGUCGUAAAGCCCUGUCAGGUGGGAAGAAACUCUUCAGCACUAAUAAUGCUGAAGUCUGACGGUACCACCAGAGGAAGCACCGGCCAACUCCGUG
Molecule: ribosomal RNA, 489 nt
Filed under: uncultured bacterium
Lineage: Bacteria
Description: bacterial SSU rRNA
Rfam family: Bacterial small subunit ribosomal RNA
Source: RNAcentral